RNAcentral lists this ribosomal RNA (467 nucleotides) under uncultured bacterium. RNAcentral describes it as "partial 16S ribosomal RNA". It matches the Rfam family "Bacterial small subunit ribosomal RNA", at positions 29 to 507 of the family's 1533-position model. The record is from RNAcentral.
ACGCACGCUGGCGGCGUGCUUCACACAUGCAAGUCGCACGGAAAGGCCCUGCUUUUGUGGGGUGCUCGAGUGGCGAACGGGAGAGUAACACGUGAGUAACCUGCCCUUGACUUUGGGAUAACUUCAGGAAACUGGGGCUAAUACCGGAUAGGAGCUCCUGCUGCAUGGUGGGGGUUGGAAAGUUUCGGCGGUUGGGGAUGGACUCGCGGCUUAUCAGCUUGUUGGUGGGGUAGUGGCUUACCAAGGCUUUGACGGGUAGCCGGCCUGAGAGGGUGACCGGCCACAUUGGGACUGAGAUACGGCCCAGACUCCUACGGGAGGCAGCAGUGGGGAAUAUUGCACAAUGGGCGGAAGCCUGAUGCAGCAACGCCGCGUGCGGGAUGACGGCCUUCGGGUUGUAAACCGCUUUCGCCUGUGACGAAGCGUGAGUGACGGUAAUGGGUAAAGAAGCACCGGCUAACUACGUG